Molecule: transfer RNA, 75 nt
Filed under: Rhodoplanes elegans
Lineage: Bacteria; Pseudomonadati; Pseudomonadota; Alphaproteobacteria; Hyphomicrobiales; Nitrobacteraceae
Description: tRNA-Gln
Rfam family: tRNA
About the family: Transfer RNA (tRNA) molecules are approximately 80 nucleotides in length. Their secondary structure includes four short double-helical elements and three loops (D, anti-codon, and T loops).
Source: RNAcentral
AGGCGCGUAGCUCAACGGUAGAGCACCGACCUUUGACGUCGGCGGGCGCAGGUUCGAAUCCUGCCGCGCUUGCCA